Molecule: long non-coding RNA, 905 nt
Filed under: Castor canadensis (American beaver)
Lineage: Eukaryota; Metazoa; Chordata; Mammalia; Rodentia; Castoridae
Description: lncRNA (ENSCCNG00000012398.1)
Source: RNAcentral
GUAAAGUCAUAAAUAUUAUAAAGGACAUUGUUUUCAAUGUCCUUUUAUUCUUUAUGCAGAAAUUUGCAGAUAUUUUAUGCAGAAAAUAAUUGCACCCAUCAAGUUGUUUUCUAGAUUUAAGAAGGUUAUUCUUUACUGAAGAUUGUUAGUCUAGACUAAACAAUAUUUGUGACCUUGUGUUUGUAUGGAAAUAAUAGGCCAGGUUAGGGUAACAGUGAAUUGAAUGAAGAUUUGUUGUCAGGAAGAAUUCUUAUUUUCUUUUCUGUCCUCUUGUCUACUAACUUGAAUUUUAUUCUUUUCUCACUAAAAUGCUUCCACUGAAAAGGGCAUAAGUGUAAAAAGCAGAAAAAUAUUUUAAGAAAAAAUUUAAAGGUCUUGAUCAUUCAACAGGUAAGUGAAAGUAGUUUUUAUGCCAUGUGUUUUUAUACACAUUGCCACUUGAUUUCCCUCUUGGAAGGUAAAAUGAAUGUUAGAUUACAAUUUAACUGCAUAAAUAAAUUUUAAGUUGGAAAUGCAUACCAUAGUCUGAAAUAAAUCUUUCAAAAAAAAGACAAGAAUAGGUGUAAUUUCUAUUAAGUUAGUACCUCAGCUCUCCUUUGGUCUUUGGUUAAGAGUUAUGUGAGAAUUUCAGCCCCUGAGCUUUUAUUUUUCUACUUUUUGUAGAUAAGACAAAAAGGAUACAUUUUUGGAAAAAUUGGCAAUUCAAGUAAUAAAAAAUGUACAAGUAAAAGACAUUCAUAUUAAAUAUGAAGAUGAUGUGAUUCAGUCUGGACCAAAAAAUUAAGGAAAAAGUCUGCUGACACAGGAGGGAAAUGUGCCAGGCUGAUUUAGUAGGUUUUGGAGAAAGGAUUCAAGAAAAAAAGAUGAAGAAUCAUUCAUUCCUGAAACUACAGCUGACCUUAUGA